AUGGAAGGAAGCAAGCCGCCGUUUCUUGCGAUCCAGCCAAGCAAAGAUCUGGGAGGCAAUCUUACAUGUGCCAGUCAACCCGCAAGGCUCACCUCCAUCCUUACGCUACUCUCGUUGCUGCUCCUUUCUUGCGGAGUCGGCAGCAUCCGCUGCUCCUCCUCAACGACGACAAUCCAUGAUAACAGCACGGACAUGAUGUCGCUGCUAGAUUUCAAGCGGGCCAUCACCACAAGUCAAGCCUUGAGAUCUUGGGACCUUGGCAUCCCCCUUUGCGGAUGGAACGGCGUCGUCUGCAGCGGCCUGGAGCACCCGGGGCGAGUCAUCAAGCUGAACCUUGUGAACCUAUCUUUGUCAGGCAUGAUUUCACCAUCCCUCGGGAAUCUAUCAUUCCUUAGGAGACUGGACCUGUCCAUUAAUGGCUUCACCGGCGAGAUACCUCCUCUCAACCGUCUCCAAAGAUUGGAGGACCUUCUCUUGGGACAGAACUCACUGCGAGGGACCAUUCCAGAUACUCUUACAAACUGCUCCAAUCUAUACGAACUAUUCCUGUCUAGCAACUUACUAAUAGGAGAAGUUCCCAGUGGUAUAGGCCGCCUAUCCAAUCUAUUGUUGUUAUUUCUUGGAGGAAAUAAUCUCACCGGAGAAAUCCCACCAAGGCUAAAAAACAGCAGUCAGCUUGAAUACAUCUUGCUUGCUGAUAAUAAGCUCACCGGAACCAUUAUUGAUGAGUUGGGAAAACUCCCAAAUCUUUCUGAAUUAAACCUUGCUGAAAAUAGGCUAUCAUGUGGAAUCCCGGAAACCCUGUACAAAUACAAUCAGUCUUCUCUCAGAUAUCUAUUCUUAGAUUCCAAUAUGCUUGGGAAAACACUGCCAUCUAACUUUGGUGAUACCAUCCUGAAUCUUAAAGUUCUCACAUUGUACGAAAAUAAUUUUGAAGGUCAUCUCCCAGCAUCACUAGGCAAUAUUUCAGGGCUAAAGUGGUUAGACUUGUCAUUCAACAAUUUCGUUGGUCAAGUUCAAAGUUCUUUUGGUAAUCUUGGACUCAUACAACACCUAGACCUUCAGCAAAACAAUUUGAUGGGCUUCAUCCCAAGAGAGCUGAGUGGCUUGCAACACCUCACCAAUCUGUAUCUAUCUGAUAAUAAUUUGGAAGGUGGGGUACCAUGA
RNAcentral lists this ribosomal RNA (1167 nucleotides) under Triticum aestivum (bread wheat). Its description in RNAcentral is "partial small subunit ribosomal RNA". The record is from RNAcentral. Lineage: Eukaryota; Viridiplantae; Streptophyta; Magnoliopsida; Poales; Poaceae.